CGUUUUAGUAUAGUAUGGUGCUGAAAAUUCUGGGCAGGUUUGUCCUGUUCCAGGCUCUGUUUUACAGCUUUAAACUUGGAUUUUCUUUCUGAAAAUUUUACUGUAGGUUGGAAUAAUAUUUAGGAGUGUCUCAUAAAAAUUUCGUAUUAAAAAGAUAAAUUUUCAAUUUAUUAAAAAUCAUAGACCGAGGGCUGUUUGAACUAUUUGUUCUAUUUUUCUUUCUUUGCUAGUGCAUAGUAUGAGGUUAUACUUGACUAAUUGCAUAUGAUUGAUUAUUACAUUGAUUGGCUCGGUUAACCUUGUAUAUCUAAUUAAAAGUGUUUUGCGUAUAACAAGUUAGCAAUCCUGCUAAAAGAUUUUAUUAUAUGUUUACUACAAGUCAAGACAGAUUUUCUUAUGUGUUUACUGCAAGUCAAGGGAUCUUUUUAUAUUAAUAAUUCAUGUGUUAGCAAUAGUAUUGGUUGGUUGUUGGCAUUGCAAACAGGUGGAUAAGCUUAUAAACAGAGGAGAUGCUGCCGAAUUUUCGUUAGAAAUUAUAUGGAUUUAAUGCCUAUAAAAAGGGUUGUUUGUACAACUAUGUGCUAUGUGUUUAUGUGACUGUGGUAUGUAUAUGCGAAGGGUAGAUAUAUAUAUAGGUCUUAAUGCAAUUCAGGGUUAGUCAAUAUGUCUAAUCCGACGACUGAAAUACUAUUUUAUCAUCGUAUAGAAUUGAAGACAUUGACCGAGGCAUUAAUCGAGAAGUGAUUGAAAGGGGUAUUCAGAAAUAGCCAAGCAGAAUGUUACAAGUUGAAGUAGGACGGAGAUUUGUUAUAGAUAAAAGUGUGUCAGAAGCUGGCAGAAAGGAAUGAUUAUGCGGUAUAUAGUGUUACUAGGAAUCUGAGCUAAACUUUGGAGUUAAGGCAAGUACUUCUACCUUCUCUCGCAAUUUAGAAGCAAGUAUUUCUACCCUACUCCUCUAGUACCUAUAGAUACUAAAACCUUCUUUAUAUCAUGAUUCAAAUUAUUUGCAAUUACUUUCUUGUGAAGCAUAUCUAGUACUUUUAAACUUUUUGGUUGAACGGAUAACACUUUUGGUAUCAACUCUACACUAUGAUAUGCAUAAAGAAAUUGUUUUAACAAAAUGUUAUUCUGGCUCUUGAAUUACAUGAUGGAACUGCAGAUUGUUUUAAAAAUUAAACUAUUGGGUUGUUUUUGCGUAAGAGGCUCGGGCACCGGCCCAGCGUGAAAGGUGGCUCCUUAAGCCCGGAUUACCGGAAUUCGUAAUAUUUGUCAACCUUGCUGAAUAAGCUUGGUUUAUGGACUAUAGCAUGACUGAUCAUCUGUUAUAGCCAGGUGUCCAAUUAUUUUUAAAGCCCAAUAAAAUUGUGAAUAGUUUAAAAAGAAGUUACCCUGCCUUCAAGAGAUAUUUGCUUAUACAUUCAUUUCUGUAGUUUUAAAUAUUUUCACUUCUUUAUUAUGGCAUUGCUGUACAACAAAUAUCAAUUUCAUUUUGUUAUUCUUGCUGAGCAUUAUUGCUCAUUCUUGCUAUUCCUUCUAACCCUUUUCAGCUAGGAAUAAAGAUGAUUCACUUAAGACUAGGCAAGGAUUGCAAGUGGUUGAGUUUCAAGCAGAUGGACAGGUAGAGUAUUUAGGACGAUGUCAUUAAGACUAGAUGCAGUUGGAGUUCUGCAAUUCAAUUCAGUUGGAAAUUAGAUUUGUUUAUUUGGUUAUCAGCUACUCUUCUUAUCGAGGUUUAGCUGAUAAUGUUGUUUAAUUUGUAAAUAAGAUUUUAUAGUUUUAGUUUCUGAUUUCAAUGCUGUAGCCUGUAUGCGAUCCUGUUUUCAGGGGGUGAAAUUGAUUUUGAAUUAAAGACCUUCUUUUAAAAAAAAAAAAUAUCCAGGUUUAGAAAUACUUGUUUUUACUUUCUUCCAAAAAUACAGGUUUUAAAUUGUUUUUCUUUUAAUGGCUCAAAACUACAGGUUUUAAAUUAUUUUUAUUUACACGUGGCACCAGAUCUAGACCCCCGGAUUUGAGGGAUGUCACACCCAGUCACAAAAUCCACGUAAUUCGUUAAAAGCCACGUAAAUGCCACGUAAAUGCCACAUAAAAUCCAGCUCAAUGGUUACUUUAAAUAUGUAAUCUCAUAUUUUCAGCCUUGAUUUCUGCUUCCUAUUCUAGAAAUGCCAAGUCAUAAAAGCCAGCUCAUUGAGUACUUUAAAUUAUCAUCACAUAAAUUAUUUAUGUCAAGUAUACACAAUCCCAUAAAUUAAGCAAUCAUUCCUGCUUUCGUUUUUAAUUGUCUUAACUAAUAUGUAAAGCAUUGAUUUUUUUCAAAAUCAAAUCAAUUCCUAUCAGAUGAGUCUCCUCCGCAAGCUGUGUUGGAGACAAUUAUGUAUGAUUCUUUCAAGCUCUAAUGAAAUCUUUUGUUGCUCAAAAAAAAAAAAAAAAAUUCCUAUCAUCUAUUUUAAAAAUUCAAAUUCAAAUUCAUCCUCUAAUCUUUUUUAUUUUUCUCCUCCUCUCUAAGUAUGGUUUCAAGCUCUAUGUUACUUAAAUAAAAAGUAUAACUUGCACGGGAAGUUUACUAGUUAUAACAGACUUUACAUUAUUAAUUUUAAUUCUUUUAAUUAAUUUCAUAUGUAUGUGUAUAUAUCCAUAUAUUUGCGUAUCUAUAAUUGUAAUUAAUUACCUUCAAUUUCUCUCUGAUUAAAUAUGGGAAGACUUCCAAGCACUCUGAAGACUUUAUUGUAUGAUGUUGCAUGAAAAAUUAAAAAUUCAAAAUUGAAUUAUCUCUUAAAUUGCUAAUCUCCUUUUCUUAAAAUAUUUAAAAUUAAAAUAUAUUAAAAAAAAUUCAGACAAUGAUUUUCUUAUCUUUACACAUUUAAUUUAUUUCACAUCUACAUGUAUAUUUUCGUACAUUUACCUAUUUUUAAUUGUAAUCGUUAGCUUCUUAUUUUUUUCGAAUAAAAUUUGUAAAGACUUCCUAAGCACUUAUAAUAUUUUUUGUAUGAUAUUGCAUCAAAAAUUCAAUAGAUUGGAAAGGUGAUUACCUCUUAAACUGCUAAUCAUCUUUUUUUAAAAUAUUUAAAAAUGAAGUAUAGUUAAAAUAUUUUCAUGAGAUUAUAUAAAAAAGAAUAAGAUGUUAAUGCACGAUUAAAUAUGUUAUACUAUAAAAAAUUAUAAUUUGACUAUUGUUUUGUUCAAGUUAUUUAUGUGUUAUUGUUUUCUUCAUUAUUUUAUUUUUUUCAGUUUUAAUAGAGUAAUUCUUAUAUAUAAAAGAAUAUGAGAUGUGUCAUUAUAUAUGUUUUACUCUCUAAUUUUUCGUUUUAAAAUAAAUAUGAACUUAGUUCAAAAUUAUAUACCAGAGCAGUAACAAAGCGUCGUAAUGGUAAUAUGUUGUGAAGCAACAUUUAAUUGUUUUGAAUUUUUUAAAAUUUCUUUGAAAAAUAAUAUCUUUUGAGGAUCGGAAAUUGGAUCUGAGAGCACAUUCAAUUAUAUUUCACGAUCAUCAUAUCAAGAUCAUAAUUUCAAAAUAGCAUUAAUCACGCAUCUUUGAAUCGUGCCACUAAUCACGACGUCAGUUCAGAUUUAAGCUUUGCUUAUUAUUUGCGUAUGAUAUUCUUAUCAGAUCAAAGCAAAACAUUUGAAUUUCACAUUCGAAACCAUUCUUUCUUCCACGCCUCUAAUCGUGACGGGUAUGUUUUCUUCGUUGGCUUUCGAACUGAUUUGUGUCCUCGGUCGGAUUUUGCGGCAGUACUACUGAUCUUGGCUUUCUUUACACAUUAAUUUCUCUAUCUACGGACUUUGCUUUGCGCUUAUUUAUUGUAUUGUAUAAUAGAAUUCUACUUAUCUUACACAAAUCGCGUUAAUCCGUGUAUGCAUCAGGUAGUAUCCGUCAAAGCCUCUUG
This 3884-nucleotide long non-coding RNA is filed under the name Daucus carota (carrot). Its description in RNAcentral is "long non-coding RNA (DCAR_LNC002127)". Lineage: Eukaryota; Viridiplantae; Streptophyta; Magnoliopsida; Apiales; Apiaceae. The record is from RNAcentral.